AACAAACGCUGGCGGCGUGCCUAACACAUGCAAGUCGUACGAGAAAGUCGGCUUCGGCCGAUGAGUACAGUGGCGCACGGGUGAGUAGCGCGUGGGUAAUCUGCCCUUAAGUGUGGAAUAACGUACCGAAAGGUGCGCUAAUACCGCAUAAUGCCUGGCAACAUAAGUUGUCCGGCCAAAGAAGGCCUCUGCUUGCAAGCUUUCGCUAAAGGAUGAGUCCGCGUACCAUUAGCUAGUUGGUGGGGUAACGGCCUACCAAGGCGACGAUGGUUAGCUGGUCUGAGAGGAUGAUCAGCCACACUGGAACUGAGACACGGUCCAGACUCCUACGGGAGGCAGCAGUGAGGAAUAUUGGUCAAUGGGCGGAAGCCUGAACCAGCCAUCCCGCGUGAAGGAAGACAGCCUUACGGGUUGUAAACUUCUUUUCUGUCAGAAGAAUAAGCUUGUCGAGACGAGUGAUGCCGGUAUGACAGGAAUAAGCAUCGG
RNAcentral lists this ribosomal RNA (486 nucleotides) under uncultured bacterium. RNAcentral describes it as "bacterial SSU rRNA". It matches the Rfam family "Bacterial small subunit ribosomal RNA", at positions 29 to 496 of the family's 1533-position model. The record is from RNAcentral.